This 219-nucleotide long non-coding RNA is filed under the name Homo sapiens (human). Its description in RNAcentral is "HSALNT0327405". The record is from RNAcentral. Lineage: Eukaryota; Metazoa; Chordata; Mammalia; Primates; Hominidae.
GGGCCGGGAUCGUCUGCCUGCGAGGUGGCGGUGCCUACCACAGCGGGUCGGGAGCUUCUGGGAUCCGAGCCGAGAAACGGGACGCUCGAGUCCAUUUGCAGUCUUCACGUAGGAAACGGUGCUAGAAUCUGAAACGUAGAGAAUGUUGAGAACCUGUCCAAGCCCAUACAGCCAAGGAAUGGCAAAGUUAAGGCCAGGAUCCGAUUUGCCUGACUCACA